This is a long non-coding RNA of Daphnia magna, 3174 nucleotides long. RefSeq lists it as uncharacterized. The transcript has 3 exons. NCBI's taxonomy places the organism in Eukaryota, Metazoa, Arthropoda, Branchiopoda, Diplostraca, Daphniidae. The record is from RefSeq and is a predicted model, not a curated record.
UUCACUCGGUUACAUCAGAACGUGUUUUUUUUCCCUUUACUAUUAUUAUAUUUCUUCUUUUAGCUGUACCGAAGAUGUGAACGUGUCAAACAAAACAGCGAAACAAAACAAAAACGAAAAAGAUGGGGAAUCGAAAAGAAAACGGACCGAUGAUAAAUGGGCCCUACAAGUCCGUCAAGUCGGAAGAUACAUUGCGCAACAGUCGUAACGUGCGACACAACCAACUACUAGCGGCGGUGGCGGCAAGCAACACAACACAAGAAUUUUAUUUUAUUUUUUUUCAAAGGAUUUCCAUCUUUUUAUUUUCUUCUCCUCUCUUUUCAAAAUAUAACGCUCAUUCGCCUUCGGGAGAACGCGGUAAAAUGGAGGGAAAACAAAAAAAAAGGGACCCUUGACCGGACCAAGCGGCGAAGAGUCAUCAACCGAAAAGAAAUCCUUUUUCUUAUAUUUUUAAAUAAGCAAGGCGCGCCGGUGCUCUUUUCGUUGUGUAGGGGCCAUCAUCAAUAGGACCAGGGCAAAAAAAAAAACCAAAAAAAGCAACGGUCAUUAUCAUAUUUUGAUAGAUUGAACUUUCGGCCAAGAACAAGCAAAAAAAAAACAACAAAAUCUUAACGAAAAAUAGUCGAUAGUUUCUGAUUUCUUUUUUAAAAUUAAACAAAUUAAGCGGGGAACUCCUGGCUAUGCCAUUGGGUUCUUGUUCCCCCCCCUCCACUGACUUCGUUAGAUUCCUGUUGAAUUACGUCAACCGACUACUCAAAUUCAAUCGAAAUUGAAACGAUCCUCGCGUGAUUUCCAAUUAUCGGUGUUACAUCAUUUCAGAGUCACCACUCCCUGCUGAUAAGAGCGUCUCAAGUCGGGGUUUGGUGAAACAACUUGACGCCCCACACAAAAUAGGAGAGAUAGGGAAGGGGGGAUGACCGUCACGACAUAAGAGGUGAAGGUAUUUGAAAUUCCGAUAAGACGUGUAAAAAAAAAAGAGAAUGGCGAACGUGCAACGGGCAUUGUAAUAUAAAACAGAGAGAAAAACAAAUGUCAACUUACCGUUACGUAAAAAUAAAUUUGAAAAGAACAAUUCAAGAAAAAAAGAAGUGAACGCGAUCAACAAAAUCCAGCGCUAUAAAAAACGUGCGCGCGCACGGACCGUCUCUCGAUGGCAGUUGGUUAUAAUCCUCUGAUUCGGUUUGGACAAGUUGGCAAACAACUUGUUUUGUGUUGCUUCUUCUAGCCUUUUCGUGUGUGUGUGUGAGAUAGAUAAACUGAUUGGGCAAAAAUAGCAAAUUAACGGGGUCAACUAUGCACUCGAAUUCCUUGCCGAUCCAUCCUGUUCAAAGUCUGACUCGUCGCAAGUAGAUCACUCGUUUUCAAAAGAAAAUCGCACUUUCAAAUCGCACACUGCCACUGGACUAAUCUUCAAUUAUGUUUCGUUUUUUUGUUGGACAAUCUGGCCAAUAACACUGAACCCCCACCAACAAAACAAAAAUGUAAGAAAUACCCAAACUUUAACCGUACGGGGGUCACAUACACACGCAAAUUCCUUGGCACAAAAAUAAUAAUAAUAAUAAUAAAAUAAAAAAUCUUCUAUUUCAUGUCGUUUCGUUUGGCAAAAAGCGAACACAGACGACAGGACACUGUAGAACGGAUUUAUAAAUUUUCAACACACACACACACAAAAAAGAAUGGACGGUGUGUGUAGGGGAGACUGCGAGGUCUCUUCUCUUCAGCGUGUCCUCCGCACAUGUGACUGGGAGCUCUGGCGAGUCUUGUAAGAGAGUGUACAGUGUUUGGGCACAAAGUUUGAAGAAGUGAGCCUCCUUCUCUUUCUGUUUCUCCUUCUCCCGGCCGCCGAUGGGGCGUAGUAGAAGAAGGAGGAGAAAUGGGAAAAGAAGAAGAAGAAGAAAAAAAGAGAAAAAAAAAAGAAAAAAGUGGGAGGAGUUGUUGGUGAAGAACUGGAAGACCCUCGCGCCACCACCAGCAAAAGAGAAAUAAAGUUUUUUUUUUUUUUUUUUUUUGCUAUUUACUGCUGGACUCUUGUAUGUAUGUGUGCAACACGGACGCGCUAGUAAGACGGGCAUACAACGGAAGAAAAGAAAAUAAAAUUUUAAUUCAUAUUUUUUUUUUCCAGCUACAAAGAAUGGCACAUCAAAAAGGAAUGCCUCAAGAAAGAGAGACGUUCUACCUGGUCUUUGAAGAGGGGGGGAGUAUAAGGUCAGAUAGGAGGAGGGCACCAGCAAAGUACUGGCCAAAAAGAGAAAAAAAAAAUUGCUGAUGGCAUCCAGGUGAACUGCUAGUCCCCCUGUCUAUAAGAGGAUCCAACAAAGUUGACCGCAUAGAAUUUGUCAUUCAACAGCCGACGACGAUGUAAAAGGAGAAGUGUCCAGGAAUCAAUUUGUUAUGAAUAUUUUAUAGACGGCUAGUGGUUGGUCGUACAAUACUCGGAAACAGAGAGGAGGGGAGACGAGAAUUCGAAACUGGUAUUCUUGCAUCAAGUUGAUUAAACGACCAAUUACUUUGAAACUGUUUCAUGGUUUUUCAAGUCGACAAACAGACCGACACGUCAUUUUGAAAAAAAGGACCCCUUCGACAUUUCGAGUUGCAUUAAAACCAAGUCACUCACGUAGAGGCACAUGCCUAGGCGCCCCACCAAGUUGAUCGAUAGUUGAAAAUGAGUUAUGGUCCACCUUUCUGUUUGGCCCUCAUUUGGUUAUUUGUCAAUGGAUUUAUCGCCAAGUCAUCGCGCCAUCAACCAGUUUCUUUAAAAUAUUCUUUCCAUUUGAUUUGAUUUUUUGAAACAUUCUUUUUGGGACACCCCGCUAAAGUCGAUAACGACAUGACACACAGUCCCAUUGUUUCUGAGAGGCCGAAGCGUUUCAGACCGGAACAUCAUUCGUAUAUGUUUUGGAUUUUCCCCAUCUGUUUCACUAGAAAACAAACUGAAUUUUCAUUUUUCGAUUCGAAUAGUAAGUGACUUGUGACUUUCUGUCCUACCAUUUUUCACGCUACCCAAUCAAAAAGGAAAGAAAAUUGUACAUCAUCUUCAUUGGCAAGGCAACGCGUUAAGGAAUUCCUGUCGUAGUGGCAAUGAAAGACGAACACUUGGUACAACAAUGAAAUCGAUUUUAUAUCCCAUGGCAUCGGCCGAUAUCUAAGCGGGACAAACAACGAUCCCACAUUCGU